UAUUGUGUGCAUGGAAUAAUGGAAUAUGAUCUCGGUUCUAUUUUGUUGGUUUUCGGAACUCCGAGGUAAUGAUCAAUAGGSAUAACUGGGGGCAUUCGUAUUGCGACGUUAGAGGUGAAAUUCUUGGAUCGUCGCAAGACGGACAUCAGCGAAAGCAUUUGCCAAAGGUGUUUUCAUCAAUCAAGAACGAAAGUUAGAGGUUCGAAGGCGAUUAGAUACCGCCCUAGUUCUAACCAUAAAUAUGCCAUCUAGCGAUCCGCCGACGUUACUUCACGGCUCGGCGGGCAGCUUCCGGGAAACC
This 301-nucleotide ribosomal RNA is filed under the name Acanthopteroctetes unifascia. RNAcentral describes it as "SSU rRNA". It matches the Rfam family "Eukaryotic small subunit ribosomal RNA", at positions 810 to 1110 of the family's 1831-position model. Lineage: Eukaryota; Metazoa; Arthropoda; Insecta; Lepidoptera; Acanthopteroctetidae. The record is from RNAcentral.